RNAcentral lists this ribosomal RNA (437 nucleotides) under Enterococcus faecalis. RNAcentral describes it as "bacterial SSU rRNA". It matches the Rfam family "Bacterial small subunit ribosomal RNA", at positions 370 to 798 of the family's 1533-position model. The record is from RNAcentral. Lineage: Bacteria; Bacillati; Bacillota; Bacilli; Lactobacillales; Enterococcaceae.
UGGGGACGAAAGUCUGACCGAGCAACGCCGCGUGAGUGAAGAAGGUUUUCGGAUCGUAAAACUCUGUUGUUAGAGAAGAACAAGGACGUUAGUAACUGAACGUCCCCUGACGGUAUCUAACCAGAAAGCCACGGCUAACUACGUGCCAGCAGCCGCGGUAAUACGUAGGUGGCAAGCGUUGUCCGGAUUUAUUGGGCGUAAAGCGAGCGCAGGCGGUUUCUUAAGUCUGAUGUGAAAGCCCCCGGCUCAACCGGGGAGGGUCAUUGGAAACUGGGAGACUUGAGUGCAGAAGAGGAGAGUGGAAUUCCAUGUGUAGCGGUGAAAUGCGUAGAUAUAUGGAGGAACACCAGUGGCGAAGGCGGCUCUCUGGUCUGUAACUGACGCUGAGGCUCGAAAGCGUGGGGAGCAAACAGGAUUAGAUACCCUGGUAGUCCCAA